CAUCCACUUGGCAAUAAAGUUGAAGCAAUAAGAAAGAGUUUGGGCUAGUUUUAGUAUAAAAACACCCCUUUAUCUUCUGAUUUGAGGGUUUACAUGAAAAUCACUCACUUGUCUCUUCUUUUCCUCUUUAUUCACGCACACGCACAAAACUUCAACUGCACCACAUUCAAAUCAAUAGCAUAUCACACAACAAUGGUGAAAACCAAGAGUUGUUGGUUAGAAUAGUGCAAACCUAGCCUCCUUUUCAAGAUUUUCGAAUUGCCCAUGAAGAUUAUACUCUUUGUAAGUGAGGGAAAGUUUAACCUUUAGCAAGGCCGGGAGUAGCCAGUCAAGAUAAUGAUCAAGUCUAAGGAUGAGCUCGACUCAGAGAAAAGAACGUAUUUUGUCAUGUCUUACUUGGAGAUAGCACAAAUUAGAAAGAUGCUUUAAUAAUUUCCUUUAGUUAAACGCCUUUGAAGAUAACAUCUAUUACAUUGAGGUGUGCCAAGGAGUUUGAUACUCCAUUACUAUGAUGCAUAAUUCAGUUUAUACCUACUUUGAUGAGCUUGGAACAAGUAUGGUAUGAUUUAGAGUAAUGAAUGGAGUUGGGAUAUGAGUUUUAUUUUGGUACAACAUUUUUAUAAAAUGACUUAUUCCA
Molecule: long non-coding RNA, 637 nt
Organism: Carya illinoinensis
Lineage: Eukaryota; Viridiplantae; Streptophyta; Magnoliopsida; Fagales; Juglandaceae
Exons: 3
Source: RefSeq, a predicted model, not a curated record